CACUACCUGUCAGCCUUCUACCGUCCUUUGUGUCGCGGCCUCACAAUGGCGCCGGCGUGGGUGAAUGCCGGCAGGGUAAUUUUGCUUGUUCCAAGAGAUUAGCUUUUUUUUCCCGCAUCGAUGGCGCUAGCAGGAUGCUAAGGACAAGCUGGAGAUGAAGGCGGCGAAGUAUUCUCGGGGAAGGGUGUUGACUUGAAGGCUUAAGAGGGACAAGAAGUUGAAAUGCAAGCUCGCUUUUAAGGGAGAAGCUCAUGAAUAGUCUGCAUAAGCUGCUACAAAGGAUGAUCAAGUUGCCCUUUUUUAUUGUAUUAUUAUGAAUUUCUGCAAAUGUCUAUAAAUUAAAUUUAUACUAGGAUUGCAAAAUAUGCAAGUUGGUGUCUGGAAAUCUUUGGUGUAAUUGUGAACAUUAGGCGGAUGUGAUAAGUAAAUAUGAUAUUGAAAACAUGUGAGUCAUUA
This is a long non-coding RNA of Panicum virgatum (switchgrass), 456 nucleotides long. RefSeq lists it as uncharacterized. Lineage: Eukaryota; Viridiplantae; Streptophyta; Magnoliopsida; Poales; Poaceae. The transcript has 2 exons. The record is from RefSeq and is a predicted model, not a curated record.